RNAcentral lists this ribosomal RNA (462 nucleotides) under Triticum aestivum (bread wheat). RNAcentral describes it as "partial small subunit ribosomal RNA". The record is from RNAcentral. Lineage: Eukaryota; Viridiplantae; Streptophyta; Magnoliopsida; Poales; Poaceae.
CAGCUCUGUAAGCUGUUGAUGGUUACUUCGCUUAUUAUUUGGGACGAAGCACUUAUGGCACACAGGAAGUGCUUCGAGGCUGUAGACAGGUCUCUGCGUGACAUUCUUUCCGCGAGUAAUCCAGAUCUUGCGGAUAUACCGUUUGGUGGAAUAGUGAUGGUCUUGGGUGGUGACCUUAGACAGAUCUUGCCGGUUGUUGAGGGAGGCACUAGGCCUCAGAUCGUUGAUGCGGCAAUCACUAAUUCUCCGUUGUGGCGGUCUGUUCAUAAAUUAACGUUGUCGGUUAACAUGCGCUUGGCUGUACCCGAUGCGGAUAUGCGGGUGCAGGAAAGUGUUGCCUUAUUUAGCAAGUGGGUGCUGGAUCUAGGUGAGGGCAAGUUGCCUGUCAAGAGGCAAGAUGAUGAGGGUGAGGCUUCUUGGAUAGAAUUACCGGACGACCUCUUGGUUUGUACGUCCGGUGAU